Molecule: ribosomal RNA, 494 nt
Filed under: uncultured bacterium
Lineage: Bacteria
Description: partial 16S ribosomal RNA
Rfam family: Bacterial small subunit ribosomal RNA
Source: RNAcentral
GACGAACGCUGGCGGCGUGCUUAACACAUGCAGGUCGAACGGAAAGGCCUGCUUUCCCUUGUGGAUUGCGGGUACUCGAGUGGCGAACGGGUGAGUAACACGUGAGUGAUCUGCCCCCAACUUGGGUAUAAGCCUGGGAAACUGGGUCUAAUUCCCGAUAGGACUGCAGGGUGGUGCCUGUGGUGGAAAACGAUUUUCUAGUGGUUGGGGAUGAGCUCGCGGCCUAUCAGCUUGUUGGUGGGGUAAUGGCCUACCAAGGCGGCGACGGGUAGCCGGCCUGAGAGGGUGGACGGCCACAUUGGGACUGAGAUACGGCCCAGACGCCUACGGGAGGCAGCAGUGGGGAAGAUGGCACAAUGGGCGGAAGCCUGAUGCAGCGACGCCGCGUGGGGGAUGACGGCCUUCGGGUUGUAAACUCCUUUCGACCGCGAGGAAGCCACCUGGUUGGAAGGGUGGUGACGGUAGUGGUAGAAGAAGCACCGGCUAACUACGUG